This is a long non-coding RNA of Syngnathus typhle (broad-nosed pipefish), 842 nucleotides long. RefSeq lists it as uncharacterized. The record is from RefSeq and is a predicted model, not a curated record. The transcript is spliced from 3 exons. NCBI's taxonomy places the organism in Eukaryota, Metazoa, Chordata, Actinopteri, Syngnathiformes, Syngnathidae.
AGCACCAACACGAAUGAGAUACACAACACCAGAGGGAGCUGUUCUAUCAGAAUCAUCGCGAGAUUUGCUGACCCGGCAAAGAGCAGAUUUACACACGUUUGGACAUGUGCCACUCUGCCGACACCAGAAGAGCCAGACUACUUGAGGACAUAGCGGUGCUGUUGACGAUCAAUAACGGCGCUGAAGGACAAGAGGAAAGUGAAACGACCUUAAAAGUGGCGAGUCUUUCAUCCAGGAGCCAACGCGAGCUCCUGUUACAGCUUUGGGGCAGGUAUUCAUCUCUUUAUGUAACCGCAGACCCGCUUUUAAGAGUCGAGUCGAUCGCUUGUGGCCGCCGAUGUGAGGUUGUGACGGCGUGUAGCGUUUCAUCAAGAGGAUUCUUUGAAGAGGUUCAAUCGGGCUGAGAUAAUAAUAGAGAGGAUGCUCGAGGUGGGAAGCGUUCAGACGGCCAGGAUGAAUCAAAUGUGCCACGCAAACUCUGUUGAACGGACAUUUAUAUAAGGCUUCCUGACCUUUGGUGUACUCGUAAGCAUUUUUGCAAUGUUGCAUCAUCGCCAUAACGAUGACAUCGUAUUUUAUAAGCAGCUCACUUGCAAACGGAUGACACAGCAUCACAGAUCUUGCUGAAUGCGACUUUAACUGAGGGCGAAGGUUUGACCUCAAAAUUGUUUUAUUUAUCUAUUAAUAGUCAGUCAUGUGAUGUUACCACUUAAGUGACCUCGCUGCCUGUCAAGGGUUACAAUUAUAGCGGCAUCAUCCAAUUUGACCUGCAAUACAAACAAUCUCCUCCGAAAGUAUUAGAACAGCAAAAUCAAUUACUAUGGUAAAUACUCACUUUUUGU